GGAACGGUAUCCUGCUGGAGACAAUGCCAUCUUUUGACGUGACAUGUGGUAUUUUGGUGGAGAAAAUGCCGUAGUGUGGAGAGAAGAGCGGUCAGCUUUUGGGGAAAGAAGGUAUUUUGCAGGAGCAAACGUUAUAUUUUCAGGAGAACCGUCACCUUAUGCGUGACACAAUGUCAUAUUUUGUGGAGAGAUGCGACGCGACCUGAGCAUGGACGUCCCCUCCUGCAUCACUGGAGCCCACAGCUCGCCUUCAGAGCUCCGUGGAUUUCCCACGUUUUACCCUGAAGCCGCCUCGCUACAGCUCCGUGGGUGGCACACAAGGCCUGCAGCACCUCUUCUCCGCAAAGCCCACCUGCAGGCAUUGGCUCGUGAGGUUCACCACCUGCCCUCCUGAGCAAAAUCAACCCCUAAGAACAAGAGCAAAGUGCCCUGGAUUCGAGCUGGCCUGGUCCAAGCCCCGGUCCCACCAGACAUUUCCUGGUAUCUAGGCUGCUCCCCAAAGCCUGGCCCCACCUCAGCACACGCUGUCAGAUCAGAUUCAAAGCUGGCACCAAGCUUUUCCCAGAAGCUCUUUGCCAGCAGCUCACUCACUGUGUUUCAUCCCUCCUCACCUCAGUCCGAAAGUAUUGGCCGCACCUGCCAGCGGGUGUUACCUCCGACCUUGUCACUGGGCAGCGACUCAACAGCACCCGGUUUGCUUCUGGGGCCCUCAUUCACCUCACUGUGCUAACCCUCCAGUGGCAUUCUUUCCUCCUCCAAAUAAACUAACGGAAUAGAAGGCUGAAUGUGGGACACCCUCAGUCCGCCAAAGAGUCUGCCCCAUGGAGUCCAUGGUGUUCAAGGUCUGCGCCACGGAGUGCAGCUGCAAGCCGCAAGAGAAAUAGCACCUUGCAGCCCUUGUCCUUUGAAGCAGAAGGGAACACCUUAGGAAGACGGAGCACACUUCGGAAGCUCAAAGAUGCCGCGCGUCAAGCUGGCAAGAGAAGAUUCUGAACUGCCGUCCUUUUCCCUUCCAUCCACAGUGGCGUCUGUCACAUAGAACCGGGGAGUAACUUACUGGCCUUGGCAGGGCCCUUUCUUGCCACUCCUCUAAUGCUUAGGAUUAAGUCGACAAAGACAUCGUAACGGUUGUUCUCUGCAAAAACUACCCGUAACAUUGUUCCUUCUACAAGCAGACAAGCCCAACACAUGCCUGCCGGUCAAAUUGUGGGUAGGAGUUGGUUUGUUUGUGGGAGAGAAUUUGAUGUUUUCGAAAGAACGGUAGCAUUUUGGAGAGAAAAUGUUUUGUUUUUGUUUGAAAAGUGGUACUUGGUGGGAGGAUAAUGCUUAACGGAUGGGGGGAGAAAAGUGGUCUUUUGGGGAGAAACUUCCCUUUGGUGGAGAAAGUAGGCGUUUUGCGGGAGAAAAGGUCGCGCGGUGCGCAGAAAGUGCAGUUCUAUUUUGAGGGAGAAAAGAGGUAUUCUGGUGGAGCACAUGUCAUGUUUGGAGAAGAAGAGUGGUAUUUGUGGGGCACAUGCCUUAUUUUUGUGAGAAAUGUGGUAUUUUGGUGGAGAGGAGGUGCUAUCUUGUGCAGCAAAGUGGUAUUUGGGGCUGCAAGCGCCUUGUUUUGGGGAGCAGAGUGGUAUUUUGGGGGAGAAGCUGUCAUAUUGUCG
RNAcentral lists this long non-coding RNA (1652 nucleotides) under Gallus gallus (chicken). Lineage: Eukaryota; Metazoa; Chordata; Aves; Galliformes; Phasianidae. The record is from RNAcentral.